CAAGUUCUUUUGAUACUGUGGUGCUGAUCCCAGCAUGUCUGGGCAGAGAGGCAGAAAGAGUCUGAGUGUGUGUACAUGCUAAAACUUGGCAUGUCAGGACAGAGGCAGCAUAUUUUGGGUCGUUGUGGCGUGACACACACACACACACACACACACACACACACACACACACACACACUAACAUGGAUUUGGGAACUGUGCUCUUCUGAUUUCCUGUACCAAACCUUAUAGACUUUACAAACGUAAGAUCGGUGAUCAUUUCUAUCAUCAUCAUCAUCAUCAUCAUCAUCACCACCACUGCAGAUGAGAACAUGGAGCCUGGUGAUCACUGGAUCCCUGAUGAUGUCGCUCAAUGGCUUAAUCACAUUGGAAUCCACCAGCACCAGCCGUCUCUCAACAUGCUGUAUGGUAGGAACUCACACACACACACACACACACACACACCACACACACACAUAUCCCUGCUCCCCACAAAUCUGUGUUUUAUUUAUUUAUUUUCUACUUUUGUUAGACAAAGUGCAGGGUCAUGUGGAACACUGGAACUUUAAUGACUGAAUAAUUCAUAAUAAUUAGUACAUCACAUGCUUUGGGAUGAAUAGUGAAUAAUGAGCAGGGGGUGUAAUGGGUGUAAAAGCCACUUGUGCUAAUUUGGGUCAGUUAAAUGUAUUAUCAUCAUCCAGGCGAUAUUUGGUCUCGAUGAACAUUCACAUUUACAAACAAAUCAAUAAAUUACACCGAAAUCACAGGAACACUGAGCUAAUAAUAUCGAAAUCGCACAAUUUACACACCACUCUGUAUCCACUGAACUUUAAACUGAAGGACUGAAUAAAAAUCAGAGAAGGUAGUGUUGCGUGAGAUUCAGUUCAUUCAUGUUAAUUCCUAGACUUACUCCCCCUUCAUCCAUUCUAGAGAAAAAUAAGCCAUGAAUCGAUCAUCGGUGCUGUUAGUCGUAAUGUUUUGUGGAUUCUGUUACAUGUGAUAAAUGAACUUUACCUACUCCUGCACCAGGCUCUUAAAAGAUGACAGUUAUUUGGAAAGAAUCGGUUCAGUAAAGUGAGUCAAAAUGCUCAUUACUUUAGUGUCGACUCUUUUCGCGAGCGCGAGUCACUGACCAAUCACAGCGAGUAACACGAGUAGGGGUGUGGUUUUGGACGGAAGCGGGUGCAAAAGAAUAAAAAAGUUGGACAGACGAUCAGGCUAACGGUGCUACUACAGUCCGGUCCGGUCCGGUCCGGUCCAGUGCAGUGCGGGGCGGUGAGACUUUCAUUUAUUUACAUUUUAUAAUAAGUGAGGAUCUCGGGCCUGCAAGAACAUUAUCGGUUCUGAUUAUUCCUGUCGGUCUGCGUGAAAUGAAGAAACGUCUCCCGGGCUAUUAAUAGGGCUGAGAAAGUUAUUUCAGCAUGGUGGAGCUGAGUGUGUGCUGAAGAUCACCUCUCUCUGU
Ictalurus punctatus (channel catfish) is the source of this 1441-nucleotide long non-coding RNA. The record is from Ensembl. NCBI's taxonomy places the organism in Eukaryota, Metazoa, Chordata, Actinopteri, Siluriformes, Ictaluridae.